UUUUAAUGGUAUAAAAGGCUGAUGAAGUUUUAGACAACCAAUACAAGAUUCAGAACUCGGCAUCGCGAUAAACAAGUAAAAUUGUACAUUCAGGAACUCGUUUAAAUAUUAUAGGUUGAUUGAAGAAUAAUCUACAAUUGAUUAGAGCCUAUGACGAUGCGAAGAUAAUUAAUCACCUAACUUUAAGAAACCAGCCUAAAGAAGUUUACAUGCAUCUCAUCUAACCAUUAUAGAUCAGUAGUGAUUUUUCAUAAUUUGAAUGAACUCACAGAUAGCAAUGGGGCACCGCACC
Molecule: long non-coding RNA, 292 nt
Organism: Sitophilus oryzae (rice weevil)
Lineage: Eukaryota; Metazoa; Arthropoda; Insecta; Coleoptera; Curculionidae
Exons: 4
Source: RefSeq, a predicted model, not a curated record